RNAcentral lists this ribosomal RNA (482 nucleotides) under uncultured bacterium. RNAcentral describes it as "partial 16S ribosomal RNA". It matches the Rfam family "Bacterial small subunit ribosomal RNA", at positions 30 to 507 of the family's 1533-position model. The record is from RNAcentral.
AUUGAACGCUGGCGGCAUGCUUUACACAUGCAAGUCGAACGGUAACAGGCCGCAAGGUGCUGACGAGUGGCGAACGGGUGAGUAAUGCAUCGGAACGUGCCCAGUCGUGGGGGAUAACUGCUCGAAAGAGUGGCUAAUACCGCAUACGAUCUAUGGAUGAAAGCGGGGGACCGUAAGGCCUCGCGCGAUUGGAGCGGCCGAUGUCAGAUUAGGUAGUUGGUGGGGUAAAGGCUCACCAAGCCAACGAUCUGUAGCUGGUCCGAGAGGACGACCAGCCACACUGGGACUGAGACACGGCCCAGACUCCUACGGGAGGCAGCAGUGGGGAAUUUUGGACAAUGGGCGCAAGCCUGAUCCAGCAAUGCCGCGUGCAGGAAGAAGGCCUUCGGGUUGUAAACUGCUUUUGUACGGAACGAAACGGCUCUGGUUAAUACCCGGGGCUAAUGACGGUACCGUAAGAAUAAGCACCGGCUAACUACGUG